Molecule: ribosomal RNA, 428 nt
Filed under: Haslea sp.
Lineage: Eukaryota; Bacillariophyta; Bacillariophyceae; Naviculales; Naviculaceae
Description: SSU rRNA
Rfam family: Eukaryotic small subunit ribosomal RNA
Source: RNAcentral
UAGCGUAUAUUAAAGUUGUUGCAGUUAAAAUGAUGCAAUUAAAGCUCGUAGUUGAUUUGUGGCUUAGCAAGUCUUCCUAGCACUUGUUGUUAGUGAGGUAUUUGGUAUCCAUCCUUGGGUGGAAUUUGUGUGGCAUUAGGUUGUCGUGCAGGGGACACCCAUCCUUUACUGUGAAAAAAUUAGAGUGUUCAAAGCAGGCUUAUGCCGUUGAAUAUAUUAGCAUGGAAUAAUGAGAUAGGACCUUGGUACUAUUUUGUUGGUUUGCGCACCGAGGUAAUGAUUAAUAGGGACAGUUGGGGGUAUUCGUAUUCCAUUGUCAGAGGUGAAAUUCUUGGAUUUUUGGAAGACGAACUACUGCGAAAGCAUUUACCAAGGAUGUUUUCAUUAAUCAAGAACGAAAGUUAGGGGAUCGAAAAUGAUUAGAUACC